GAGGUGUUAGCUUAAUUAAAGCAUUUGAGUUGCAAUCAGAAGAUGUAAGUUAAAGUUUUACAUGCCUUAAA
Molecule: transfer RNA, 71 nt
Filed under: Brachymeles talinis
Lineage: Eukaryota; Metazoa; Chordata; Lepidosauria; Squamata; Scincidae
Description: tRNA-Ala
Rfam family: tRNA
About the family: Transfer RNA (tRNA) molecules are approximately 80 nucleotides in length. Their secondary structure includes four short double-helical elements and three loops (D, anti-codon, and T loops).
Source: RNAcentral